Molecule: non-coding RNA, 3799 nt
Organism: Dermacentor andersoni
Lineage: Eukaryota; Metazoa; Arthropoda; Arachnida; Ixodida; Ixodidae
Source: RefSeq, a predicted model, not a curated record
GAGAGAGUGAAAAGACUCUUGCGACAAUAGAAAAGAGAGACUCUUGCGGCAAUAGAAAACAAAACGUAGCGUAAUCUUCUGCUUCAACUGUAGGUGGCUGGCCCCGAACAUGGCAAUGUAUCAUUCAUGCACGCUGAGCAAAGAACACAUCGUUUUGCUUCUAAGAGAACAGGCCGCCGCAGUUCAAAGGAACGCGUAGCGAGCGCUCUACUUUUUCACUCGGAGUGGCUCCACCGCGCGCGCGCGCGCUCAAGAUCGCGGAACAACACAGCACCGGAGAAAGUAGAUCCAUCCAGCGAGCAAAGGCCAGCCGAGGGAGAUCGUGUGGCAGCCAUCUCGCGUCGCCACGAAAACACGACAGUCGUUCGUCAUGCCUUGGAUAUAACAACAAAUCCUCCACGGCACCCGCUUUAUAUAACGCAAGAAGGCAGCUGCAAGGACACGAGGAUGUGAAAGAGCCAGUGCAGCGCGACUUCACGUAGUGUAGAGGAGCCAAUGCCAAAAAAUCAAAAUACAUUGGCAUGUUAUUUGGACAAGAAAACUAGUAUGUGGGUAUAUUGGGUGUACCAUUUAACCAAAUGUCAACAAAAUCAAGAUACAGUAUGUUACACGAAGAUGAAAAUUCUCACGUGCUCCAGGCAGUCAUCUUAACAUGGUAUAUUUGUGUAAUGUCUCUAAACGGAAAGUCAAAUCAAGUAUGCUCACUGGAGACAAACACAUAGCAGCAAGUGUCAUUGAAAAGUUAAAAAUGUGUUUUAAGAAAGCUGAUUAGUUCUGAGAAGUGACUGCUUUUUGUCUUGCCUCUCAACACAUAUAUCCAUGUGAUAAAAAAAUAGUGGUACAAUGAAAUUGCAUAUUUCCUUAGCGACAUGAUACAUUCUUGCAAUGAGCACGGUGCCUGUGUUUACUAUAGAAAGCAACAGCCCAUGCUUGGUUAGGUUCGGCCCACUACAACAUGCAGGCAUGGGUGAUUGGCACUUUUUUUAUUUCUGUAUCGUGAGGUUUAUUGACGUGCGUAUAGGUGCAGUGGCACGCAGUAUGGCUAGUACAAAAAAAAGGGGGGGGGGGCAGAUAUAUGUAGCUCACUGUACACGAUACAGGGCAAAGGAAAUCCGUGUUCAGCAACUAUGUUAAAUGCCAUGUACGUAAAUUUUACAACGCUACUCGUUCGAAGCGCGCACAGGUGCAUAUUGAAGAAAAGUUUCCAGGGUAGAUAAUUUAGUUCGUAAUUUACACUAAUUUUGCUCUAACCACGAGACAUAAUAAUUUGAAUAUACUGCACGGGAAAACCUAGAGCGAAUUAAAUUGUUUGUCAGCUUCGUGUGUAUACAUAUAGUCUUCCCUAUGCAUUAGGUUUUUUGCGUAAUGCAUUAACAGUUGACAGCCUAUCCUAUGAUGUGUACUCUGUUUACAUUACAGUUGUUUAUUAGUUUACUCGUUUGUUUUGCGACUGAUGAAAUGCCGGCAUAUAUAUAUUUUCAACAUCUGACAUAACCCUGUAUGUUUUGCAGGGACAACCCAGGACGUGCAUUUCUCAGCACCCAGUCAACUGCCAAAAGUGACUCAAACACAGGCCACCAGUGGAACUCGGCUGUACCACUGCAGUGCUGCGGAAAUUGCCUUCACCAGCGGCUUUGCAACAGCUGUUUCGCAGCAUGUCGGAGACAAUGCCUACGAAAUUAUUGGCCCUGAUCAUGAGAGCCCUCAAGGGGCAAACAACAUCUCUGUUGCAGAAGUGAGCCCGGUACCACUUGGAAGUUACCAUGACAGAUGACACGGCAGCAAUAGAUACAGAGACUGCCACGUCUACUGCAGCUGCAACAGUGUACGAGGCAAGCAGCAGCGCGUCAGCAGCAGUGUCAGAAGGAACCACACCAGGCCUGGUAGAGCAACAUGUGUGCUAUCACUGACUUUUUUUGUAGUGGAUACAACUCAUUUGCUCAACAUACAAAAGCUUUUCACCACGACUGUGAGCCAGUGUUAUUGUGCAGCAAGUGCAAGACUAUGUUAAGUGUUAUAACACAGUACAAGCAUCACUUUAACAUAUGAAAACAUAUUACAGUUGUUGCCUCCCCAGCCAGCCCACAUAGCCACAACAAUGUUGAACACAUGGUGGGACACACAUCUUCUCCAUUAAAAGAUAGUAGAGACUGUCAGUGUUGUUGUUAGAUUAACUGGUCUUUGUAGGCAACUAGGACAACACAGGUGUCAUAAGAUUGUUGUUGAUGUUGUUGAAGAGGUAAAAAAGAAGUUUGAUGCAGCUGAAGUGCCAACUGAUAUUGAGCAAAUCAAAAGCAACCACCUGAGAAAGCAACACUAUCGAAAUUUGGGUAUCUAUGUGCCGCCAACUCUGGUAAGAAUGGCAUAGGACAGAAGUGUGAUGAAAAUCACACAGACACUGCUGUUGCAUCACUGGCCACAGUGAGCAGCGACUUGUAGGGCAAGAGAGUCAACUGAAACUAACAUUAUGAUAUAGUGUCAUGCUCCCAUGUGACCACUUUUCAAGUUAUUUUGCAAGAUACAGCUCAACCUCCAGAAAUAAGACUGCAAGUUGUCUGUAAAAAAGCUUUCACAAAAAAUUAUUCAUAACACUAUUAACAUAGCAGUAUCUUUUUUUUUUGUGUCGGUUCGAGGUUCCCGGCUGUCCAUUAAUGCAAAAAUUGAGGAAAAAAAGAACAUGUGUCGUACUUACACCUUUUUAACAGGUACGAGGGGGACAGAACUUUUCUAGUCAUGCAUCUUCAUCAUACUAUCAAGUUUUUAAAUGCCUUUUAUAAUUAUUAUUACCAGUUAUAUCUGAGUGCAUUGUAUGCAUGUAGCAGGUGUAAAAUCAGGUCAGUUGGAUCAGAUGCCUUAUCUGCAAGCGAGCCCUAUAUUCAAGAAAUUUGAAAUAAGAUAGUUACGUUAGAGACGCAGUCUUUCAGCACUUUAUUGCCUGUGGUUUAAGCAUUGCUCAAUACUUUUGUGGGUGGCAAUUUCAACCGGCACAGCACUGCGCUUUGCCAGUCACAUUUGUCUUCAAAGCGGUGUUUACCAUUUGUGUUGAUCUGUUUGUGUAUGCAUAGAGCAAGUUUUUAAUUUAUAUUUUCCUGCAUUCUUGUGCUUGCACUAAGCUUGUAUAAGGCAGUUACAAAAUGUGCGGCACUAUAACGAACUGUUCUGUUGAGCUUACACUUGCAAAUAAUCGUGUUCAGAUGGCCGCACUUCUAUGCGGGUGCACCGCUAGCUUUGUGUAUGUUCUCAUGUUUGUAUAAAGCUUAUAUAAGCUAGUUAGAAAAUGUAUGUCACUAAGCAUUGUGAUAUUCUUUAAAGAACUGCUUGGUUGGUUUUACACUUGUGAAUUAGUAUUGAGGCGGUGGUAUUCCCAUGUAUGCCCACUGCUAGCUUUCUGUGUCCUCACGUGUUUGUAUUAAGUUUCUACAAGGGAGUUACAGCAUGUACGUCACUAAGCGCUGUGAUAUUUUUUAAAGAACUGCUUUGUUGGUUCUACACCUGUGAGUAAUAGUACUCGUGUGGCACUAGUCAUGUGUAGGUACACAGGGACCAUUUGUAUACAUUAUGCUCAUGUAAAGCAGUUACAAAGUGUAUGUCACUAAUUACUGUGAUAUUUGUUGAAUUGCUGUGAUGGUUUUACACAUGUGAAUAAUAAUGGUCAGGACACAGUACUUGCGGUGUAUAGUUGAAUUUAUACACUGCCAAGACAUGGGCUGUAUACGUACCAAAAGAAAUGUAUGUCAUUAUAUUGUUGUGAUUAUUACUGUUUGGAUUUCAUUAAACUGUAAUAAAAUUGUUUCUUGUA